This is a long non-coding RNA of Alosa sapidissima (American shad), 1692 nucleotides long. RefSeq lists it as uncharacterized. The record is from RefSeq and is a predicted model, not a curated record. NCBI's taxonomy places the organism in Eukaryota, Metazoa, Chordata, Actinopteri, Clupeiformes, Clupeidae. The transcript has 6 exons.
GGGGGGGCUGGGUGCAUGUAAUAUUGUGUAUAUUGUGAACUGUGUGUGAUAGGAAAUAUUCAUUGUUGACAAUGGGGAUUUGGGACAUUUAUUUUGAUGGACUACUUCAUAACUGACUUAUUAUGCCAUUGUGCAUGGGACAGUCUCAGCCGCUUGGACUGGCAGUGUGCGUGUUUGUGUAACAGUUUGCUCCUUUAAACACACUGAGGUACUAAUUUGGAGCUGCAGGUGUGGGCAAUCACUGGCUGCAUCGGUGGUUGGUUGCGCUCGAAAUUGGGACUGCACCGGGAGGAAUAAGAGCUGUGCAGGAGGUUCGGAGAGGUAGAGAGACAACGGGCUGCGAGCUGCUGCGGGAUGCUGACGCCGAUCGCCGUAAUCUAACAGGGAAGUAAGAGGACACUUUCUGUAUCAUGUCAAGAAGCCUUUGGUGUCGCUGACGUUGGUGCCCCGACUUCCAGGUGGGGGCGGCAUUGUGGAGGUGAACGGACUGAUCCAGACGGGUGUUCCUGAACUUCGGAUUCCGUGGACUUUAAUGAGACUGAGCUACAAGAGAAGCUGAACUGUGCUAUGCUGGAGUGCCGCUGCUCGCCUACUUCCGUGUUGACAACAGACACCGUUGCGUGGGUGCGCUGCCUGUGACGGCAUGACGUCAGCACCCGAGCUAAAGAGACGUUGGCGUAACCCUGCGUUCCCACAGACUAUUUACCCAGCAGCCCCUUUCUGCCUGCUGGUGGCCAUUACAGCUGCCCACUUGACCCAUGACAACAUGUUGCUCUGCUUAUAUAGAAGACCACAUGAGAAGACAAGACAAAUAUGUAAUAGUUGCGUAACCCUGCGUUCCCACAGACUAUUUACCCAGCAGCCCCUUCUGCCUGCUGGGGGCCAUUACAGCUGCCCACUUGACCCAUGAAGACGUAACAUGUUGCUCUGCUUACAUGGAGACCACAUGAGGACACAAGACAAAGGUGCAACAGUUGGUGGGUUCUCCACAGGGAUGACCUCCGGUCCAGCAGCCUUGCUCCUCUCCUCCUCCCCGGCUGCGCCUCCUCCUGCUCCCCCUGCCUGCUCCUUCCCCGCCACCUUCCCUCCCUUCUCCUUCAGAGGGGACUUGAGCUCCUUGGCCGAGCGCGUCAUCUUGGUCUCCGCGGCGCUGGCUCCGGACAGGAUCUCCACGGCGAGCUCGAUGAAGACGCGGCCUCGGAACGAUGCCCCCUCCCCCAUGCCCUCGUUCAGCUCGCUGUUGUCUGCCGAGCCGUAGAUGUUGAUCCAGGCUGGACCAAACGUGGGCAGAAACCCUGGGGAGAGAGGGAGGAUGGAACAGAUGAGAACCAGAACAGAGUCAGGAACCAAGUAACCUGGGAACCGUAGCACUGUUUGGGAAACCUACUCAAUAAAACAACGCAAUGAUGAACUAACAAUCACAGGCAGCAUCGCUGAACUUCUGUGAGGGCUCCGGUGAGUCGCCCUUCCCUGUGACGCUGAUGUCACACUUCAGGUAACCUUUGACCCCGGCUCGGAUGUUGCAGGGAUCCAUCAGCACCGUCCAUUUGUUGAUAAACUGGUGACCUUGGAGACAGCGACAGUGGACGUUUCAGAAAUGGAGCGUUGUAGAAGCAACACAACUUCAGAGGGAGGCUCACCUGGUUGGCUGUAGACUGUUCCAACAUCAAGCUUGAAGGAGCCGAUGCAAAA